GAUGAACGCUAGCUACAGGCUUAACACAUGCAAGUCGAGGGGAAACGAUAGAGAAAGCUUGCUUUUUCUAGGCGUCGACCGGCGCACGGGUGAGUAACGCGUAUCCAACCUGCCCAUCACUUGGGGAUAACCUUGCGAAAGUAAGACUAAUAGCCAAUGAUGUCUCUAGAAGACACCUGAAAGGGAUUAAAGAUUUAUCGGGGAUGGAUGGGGAUGCGUCUGAUUAGCUUGUUGGCGGGGUGCCGGCCCACCAAGGCGACGAUCCGUAGGGGUUCUGAGAGGAAGGGCCCCCACAUUGGAACUGAGACACGGUCCAAACUCCUACGGGAGGCAGCAGUGAGGAAUAUUGGUCAAUGGGCGAGAGCCUGAACCAGCCAAGUAGCGUGCAGGAUGACGGCCCUAUGGGUUGUAAACUGCUUUUAUAAGGGAAUAAAGUGAGCCUCGUGAGGCUUUUUGCAUGUACCUUAUGAAUAAGGACCGGCUAAUUCCGUGCCAGCCGCCGCCGUAA
RNAcentral lists this ribosomal RNA (508 nucleotides) under uncultured bacterium. RNAcentral's name for it is "partial 16S ribosomal RNA". It matches the Rfam family "Bacterial small subunit ribosomal RNA", at positions 28 to 523 of the family's 1533-position model. The record is from RNAcentral.